RNAcentral lists this ribosomal RNA (305 nucleotides) under uncultured bacterium. RNAcentral's name for it is "bacterial SSU rRNA". It matches the Rfam family "Bacterial small subunit ribosomal RNA", at positions 338 to 660 of the family's 1533-position model. The record is from RNAcentral.
CCUACGGGGGGCAGCAGUAGGGAAUAUUGCUCAAUGGGGGAAACCCUGAAGCAGCAACGCCGCGUGGAGGAUGAAGGUUUUAGGAUUGUAAACUCCUUUUGUGAGAGAAGAUAAUGACGGUAUCUCACGAAUAAGCACCGGCUAACUCCGUGCCAGCAGCCGCGGUAAUACGGAGGGUGCAAGCGUUACUCGGAAUCACUGGGCGUAAAGAGUGCGCAGGCGGGCUUGUAAGUCAGAUGUGAAAUCCUGUAGCUUAACUACAGAACUGCAUUUGAAACUAUGAGUCUAGAGUGUGGGAGAGGUAG